UUUUUGGAGGUUCAAGCUUCACUAUAAAUCGUCAUUUUUUCUUACUUUCAAAUUGUAUUCCCUUCCAGAGCUUUUGUAAUAGUUUUUGGAGGUUCAAGCUUCACUAUAAAUUUAACCACUAAAAUAUGGAUUAUAUUGUAUUCAAAAUAAUUUUUCAGUGGUAUCUUUUUAAGUUCGGUUCAUGCUGAUUACUACGCCCUCCUUCUACCGUUAAUUUUUUUAUUUUCAAAAUUUAUUCCCUUCCAGUGCUUGUGGGAUAGUUUUUGGAGGUUCAAGCUUGACUAUAAAUUUAGCCACUAAAAUAUGGAUUAUAUUGUAUUUGAAUUGCAUUCCCUUCCAGAGCUUUUGUAAUAGUUUUUGGAGGUUCAAGCUUCACUAUAAAUUUAACCACUAAAAUAUGGAUUAUAUUGUAUUCAAAAUAAUUUUCAGUGGUAUCUUUUUAAGUUCGGUUCACGCUGAUUACUACGCCCUCCN
RNAcentral lists this long non-coding RNA (474 nucleotides) under Triticum aestivum (bread wheat). RNAcentral describes it as "long non-coding RNA (TAES_LNC013814)". The record is from RNAcentral. Lineage: Eukaryota; Viridiplantae; Streptophyta; Magnoliopsida; Poales; Poaceae.